RNAcentral lists this ribosomal RNA (115 nucleotides) under Staphylococcus lutrae. The record is from RNAcentral. Lineage: Bacteria; Bacillati; Bacillota; Bacilli; Caryophanales; Staphylococcaceae.
UUUGGUGACUAUGGCAAAGAGGCUACACCUGUUCCCAUGCCGAACACAGAAGUUAAGCUCUUUAGCGCCGAUGGUAGUUGGACUUACGUUCCGCGAGAGUAGGACGUUGCCAAGC